Molecule: non-coding RNA, 695 nt
Organism: Misgurnus anguillicaudatus (oriental weatherfish)
Lineage: Eukaryota; Metazoa; Chordata; Actinopteri; Cypriniformes; Cobitidae
Source: RefSeq, a predicted model, not a curated record
GAAGUGUUUUCGGUUUACAUUCAAUUCGUCUGUGGAGCUUUUGUGACUUUACAUCGAUCAAAUGAAAGCUAAAGGACCUGCUAUUACAUUGAGAGCAUCCUGAGCAGAUGCAGUGUGAUAUGGUAGCAUGAUAGAAAUGAACUGCAAGAGCCUGUAGAGAGGGAUAAAGUCUACUGAGAGGAACACCACUGCCUUCCUUUUCACAUUUGACAAACUAACGCACCAAAAUUAACCAGAGUUUUGUUAGGUAGCUUUAAAUUUGAGCUUGGGGCUUGUGUCAGACUGGUCUAUCAUUGUAUCUAUUCCAGAGCAAGAUUUCUACUGCAAACUAAAUAAAAAUUAAAUUGCAUAAAAAAAAACAUUUGUUUACUAGCUUAAAACAACAUAACAUAUAACAAAUAACACGUUUUCUAAUUGUAACACAAUUUUAAGUUAAAGUUAAGCAUCAGGGCCAUAAUUUGUAUUUUUCAUUAGUAACAGCUUAUGUUUUGUAGCUCAACUUCUGACAGUUUUGGAUGCUGGUAGGUGAUAAUCUGGUCAUACAGAUUUACAAUGUUAAUGUUAAUCUGAGAAUGGUGAUUAUUUGUAAUUAUUUCUCUUGAUUCUUUGUAGACCACUGCAUUGUAUUUCAUAUCAUAUCAGCUGCAUAUGAAGAUGCAUAAAUUGGAUUGACAUUAAACAUCUUGUUCAAAGAU